GACGAACGCUGGCGGCGUGCUUAACACAUGCAAGUCGAACGAUGAAGCUGGAGCUUGCUCCGGUGGAUUAGUGGCGAACGGGUGAGUAACACGUGAGAAAUCUGCCCUUGACUCUGGGAUAACUGCGGGAAACUGUAGCUAAUACCGGAUAUUUUCCUUGGUGGGCAUCCACUGGGGAAGAAAGAAUUUCGGUCAAGGAUGAUCUCGCGGCCUAUCAGCUAGUUGGUGAGGUAAUGGCUCACCAAGGCGACGACGGGUAGCCGGCCUGAGAGGGGGACCGGCCAAACUGGGACUGAGACACGGCCCAGACUCCUACGGGAGGCAGCAGUGGGGAAUAUUGCACAAUGGGCGCAAGCCUGAUGCAGCAACGCCGCGUGAGGGAUGAAGGCCUUCGGGUUGUAAACCUCUUUUAGCAGGGAAGAAGCGAAAGUGACGGUACCUGCAGAAAAAGCACCGGCUAACUACGUGCCAGCAGCCGCCGUAA
RNAcentral lists this ribosomal RNA (484 nucleotides) under uncultured bacterium. Its description in RNAcentral is "partial 16S ribosomal RNA". It matches the Rfam family "Bacterial small subunit ribosomal RNA", at positions 28 to 523 of the family's 1533-position model. The record is from RNAcentral.